UGGGGAAUAUUGGACAAUGGGGGGAACCCUGAUCCAGCCAUGCCGCGUGUGUGAAGAAGGCCUUAUGGUUGUAAAGCACUUUAAGCGAGGAGGAGGGUACUGGUAUUAAUACUACCAGCUACUGGACGUUACUCGCAGAAUAAGCACCGGCUAACUCUGUGCCAGCAGCCGCGGUAAUACAGGGGGUGCGAGCGUUAAUCGGAUUUACUGGGCGUAAAGCGUGCGUAGGCGGCUAAUUGAGUCGGAUGUGAAAUCCCCGAGCUUAACUUGGGAAUUGCAUUCGAUACUGGUUAGCUAGAGUGUGGGAGAGGAUGGUAGAAUUCCAGGUGUAGCGGUGAAAUGCGUAGAGAUCUGGAGGAAUACCGAUGGCGAAGGCAGCCAUCUGGCCUAACACUGACGCUGAGGUGCGAAAGCGUGGGGAGCAAACAGG
This 430-nucleotide ribosomal RNA is filed under the name Pseudomonadota bacterium. RNAcentral describes it as "Proteobacteria bacterium partial 16S ribosomal RNA". It matches the Rfam family "Bacterial small subunit ribosomal RNA", at positions 355 to 776 of the family's 1533-position model. The record is from RNAcentral. Lineage: Bacteria; Pseudomonadati; Pseudomonadota.